AAAAUCUUUCAUUUUUUGUAAGUAAAACUAAGGUUCUGGAGCAGCAGUAUUAUAAGAUAGUGUUCUCAGAGAAAUGGAAUUUGUUGUACAUCUGUUUAUUGACUGCUCAAAACUUCAAGACCUACAAACUGGAUUUUAUUUAGGAAUUUUAUUUAGGAAUCUCAAUUGAUAGAGAAGGCUGUGGCCCACAAAGCUCUCUUGGGCACUGUACCUAACAGCAGUUCUUACAAAAACUGCUGACUGACUCCAGGUCUUUAAAUCCAGGGCUGUGGAUAGUUUCUAAGUAGAUAGUUUAUAAGCCUCACAGAGUUGAAGUUCUAGCAGCAGCUGUAGUAAGAGAUGUCUGUGUUGGCAUUUAGAAGUAGAAAAUAGGCAAGUCACCUGAGCGAUUAUGGACAGUUUGUGUCCUCAGGUGAAAGAACUCAUUUCCCUGGACAAAUAGACAUAUGAAAGAAUGGUUAGGCAGGUCAAAAUUGAAGCUGAUCAAAAAUUAUGUGCUUGGUUUUCCCUGACUUGAACUUCAGUGAAUCCAAUCAAGUUUUGUUUUCUUAGAAUCAGAUGGAUUUAAUUCUAUGAGGCAGAGUCUAAAAAAAAAUAAUAAUAAUAAAAAUAAUUCCCCAAGUGAGAAAUUUCAACCAGCUUUACCAAAACCAAAGUGAAUAGUUAAACAUGCAUCAGCCUGACCUCACCCCAGUGGAAGCAUUGAUGGGUCAGCCACUGUGGCUUUUUACAAGACAUGACAAGGAACCUCACCCAGAAAUUUCUGCAUCAAAUUCAUAACUUCAAGCUGAACUGUUGCAUACCCUUUACAUACCAGUCUGUAUUAAAGAUUGCAGAUAGGACACUCAGGUAUGUACUUUGACUUCGUUGCCAGUAUUAAAACCCUCUGCAACCUGUUGCCUGAAGUCAGAUGCAGAUGAAUUGUUUAAUUUUAUCCUUAAUAUCAGAACUACAGAGAAAGGAGAAACAAUCAGACCUUCCAGAUGAGGCUAAAUUGAUGAAAUACCCCAGUCAAGGUACAUUUCUCUGGCAGUGCCAUUAACCUGUGCCUAGGCUCUUUUGCAACCACAAUGUUUCUAAUGUCUGCCAUGAUCGCUAUAUGGAGAGGUAGGAUUUGUAGCUUAUUUGAGCUUAGCUUCUGGGUGUUGACCCAGAACCUAGGUGUUUUGCUCCUGAGCUGGGGAAAAGAACAGCUUCUUUAUCAUCAUUUAUUCAUCUGUUGGUCCACAGGAGCAUCACAAUUUCAUCUAGACUGCAGAUACAUUUUCAUUACAAGGAAAAGGGAGGGGAGGGAAUUUUGUCUCUUAAAAGAAACAGCUCAAAUGAAGAGGGUAAGGAAAGCCCACAGGAUGUUUUUGGAUUAGUCUGCUUCUCUGUAGCAAGGAGCUUUGCAGUAUUUCUGCAAAGUAUAUACAAUCCCAGAUUGAAAAAAAAAAAAAAAAAAACCCACCAACAACAAAAAAACCACCUUUAUUCAGAAAGUUUGAUGCUGACAACAGCUUUCAAGUGUCCAAAUAAUCUUCUUGAGGGCUGACCUGUCUUCUGAGGAAAGCUUGCCUGUCAGAGUGAAAGAACACAUAUUAUUGUUUCUUAACUUCAGGUGGACAUAACUUUGGAAAAGAAGCAAAAGAAUGAAACAGAGCACAGACUAAGAAAAGAUUUGUGUGCUUAGGUGUGCUUGUUUAGCCUGUUAGGCUAUGUCUUCGAUACACAAGAGAACGCAUCUGUCAAGCGUUUUUCCUCUUCUUUCCUUUACCCAUCAUUUUUCUUCUCAAGAUUUCACUACCAUAUUACACUCAAAGGAAUCUUUGAAGCCAAAAAUGAGCCAGUAUUUUAUUUUCCCAGUAAGUUAGCACCUGAAGGUAAGUCCACCUUCAUGCAGGUGGUUGUAUCCUUGUAAAUCAUGGACCUUUUAGCCUCUACCUCUUGGCUGGAGACUGGGAGCAUGGAGGGAGAGAGAUUUAUUCCAGAUGGCAAAGAACAGACAAACAGAAGUUCUUGUAGCAGAACAUGGAAAGCAAAGAGGAAUAAAACCUGUUAAAGACAAAUACAGAAAGCGGGCUCCCCCAGCAGACUUUGGUGCCAGCUUGGCAGGGAAUGAGGAAGGGACAUCAGGCUGUGGAAGCCGUGGUGCCCCCCAGGUCCCUUUGUCUGAGCACCUACAUCAGGUCCCCAAUGAAGAUCCAGAUUAGACCAGUGGACCUCUGGUUCCUUGAAAUGUUUCUCUGGUUCCUUGAAAUGUACGUCCUUUUGGAAGCAAUUUUGGUUUCAGUAACCCUGUUGACUGCUACCUUGAGAACAAAAUUUCUCAGCAGCUCUGUUUUGGCAAUCUCUCUUUAGGACUUGUUCCUGUGCAGGCUCGUGACACAAGUUGGUUCGGGAAGGCGUGCAGUGCUGGCUGCUCUGCAGGAGUGUGCUGGGGCUCCCCGGGCAGAGGCAGUUUCUCGUGACCUACCACCACAUGCUGACAUUCAUGGCUGUUAUUUUCAUUCUCACCGGGAAGUGACAGAUUUUUAUGCGAGGUGCCAAGUCGUUAAGUAACUCUGUCUUAGUUCAGUGCCUUCCUUUUCAUGCUGUAGUGAUUAGAUACUGUUAGAGGAGAAAAGGUUUCAUACGAAUUGAAGACAUUGAAACUGAACCUUAUAAAGGAACUGUAAUACACUGCACUUUUUCUAUUUUUUUUUUUCACUGGGUCCUCCCAAACCUCCACCAUUUCAGGUUUUGUUCAAGCCCACAUAAUUUGCUACGUAUCGGACCAAACAGUACAAAUGGUCCUAUCUGCACAUAAUGACUCUAUUUAAAUAGCCAAAAUAACUGCAAGGUUUCUCAUCAAGAAGCCCAUCUUUUCAUAUAUUCUGGCUGUAGUAUUCAAAAGACAACAAUAGAAGUCAUUCUGCUUUAUAGAUGCUUCUUUUUCAGGAAUAUAAGAG
This is a long non-coding RNA of Oxyura jamaicensis (ruddy duck), 2930 nucleotides long. RefSeq lists it as uncharacterized. The transcript has 2 exons. The record is from RefSeq and is a predicted model, not a curated record. Lineage: Eukaryota; Metazoa; Chordata; Aves; Anseriformes; Anatidae.